RNAcentral lists this ribosomal RNA (308 nucleotides) under uncultured eukaryote. RNAcentral describes it as "partial 18S ribosomal RNA". It matches the Rfam family "Eukaryotic small subunit ribosomal RNA", at positions 1470 to 1796 of the family's 1831-position model. The record is from RNAcentral.
CCCUUAGAUGUCCUGGGCCGCACGCGCGCUACAAUGACUCACUCAGAAAGUUUUUCCUGAUCCGGAAGGAUUCGGGUAAUCUUCAUAGCAUGAGUCGUGUUAGGGAUCGAUCUUUGCAAUUAUAGAUCUUGAACGAGGAAUGCCUAGUAAGUGCAGCUCAUCAGGCUGUACUGAUUACGUCCCUGCCCUUUGUACACACCGCCCGUCGCUCCUACCGAUUGAGUGGUCCGGUGAACCUUCUGGAUUAAGCAGCAAUGCUCGAGAAGUUAGGUAAACCUUAUCACUUAGAGGAAGGAGAAGUCGUAACA